UACGUAGGGUGCGAGCGUUGUCCGGAAUUAUUGGGCGUAAAGAGCUCGUAGGCGGCCUGUCGCGUCGGAUGUGAAAGCCCGGGGCUCAACCCCGGGUCUGCAUUCGAUACGGGCAGGCUAGAGUUCGGUAGGGGAGAUCGGAAUUCCUGGUGUAGCGGUGAAAUGCGCAGAUAUCAGGAGGAGCACCGGUGGCGAAGGCGGAUCUCUGGGCCGAUACUGACGCUGAGGAGCGAAAGCGUGGGGAGCGAACAGG
Molecule: ribosomal RNA, 253 nt
Filed under: uncultured bacterium
Lineage: Bacteria
Description: partial 16S ribosomal RNA
Rfam family: Bacterial small subunit ribosomal RNA
Source: RNAcentral